RNAcentral lists this ribosomal RNA (253 nucleotides) under uncultured bacterium. Its description in RNAcentral is "partial 16S ribosomal RNA". It matches the Rfam family "Bacterial small subunit ribosomal RNA", at positions 524 to 776 of the family's 1533-position model. The record is from RNAcentral.
UACGAAGGGGGCUAGCGUUAAUCGGAAUUACUGGGCGUAAAGCGUGCGCAGGCGGCGCGUUAAGACAGGUGUGAAAGCCCCGAGCUUAACUUGGGAAUUGCGCUUGUGACUGGCGUGCUGGAGUGUGGCAGAGGGAGGUGGAAUUCCACGUGUAGCAGUGAAAUGCGUAGAGAUGUGGAGGAACACCGAUGGCGAAGGCAGCCUCCUGGGCCAGCACUGACGCUCAUGCACGAAAGCGUGGGGAGCAAACAGG